Molecule: ribosomal RNA, 322 nt
Filed under: uncultured eukaryote
Lineage: Eukaryota
Description: partial 18S ribosomal RNA
Rfam family: Eukaryotic small subunit ribosomal RNA
Source: RNAcentral
CCCUUAGAUGUUCUGGGCCGCCCGCGCGCUACACUGAUGCGUUCAACAAGUUUCCUUGGCCGAGAGGCCUGGGCAAUCUUCUUAAUAUGUAUCGUGAUAGGGAUAGAUUAUUGCAAUUAUUAAUCUUGAACGAGGAAUUCCUAGUAAACGCAGAUCAUCAAUCUGCAUUGAUUACGUCCCUGCCCUUUGUACACACCGCCCGUCGCACCUACCGAUUGGAUGUUCCGGUGAAGCCUCGGGAUGAGGACUGGUGCCUUUAUUGGCAUGAGUUGUUCAGAACUUGUCUAAACCUUAUCAUCUAGAGGAAGGUGAAGUCGUAACA